UAUUCAAAUAGUUUAAGAAAAAUACCGGUCUGUGGAACCGGAGAUAUAGGUUUCUAUUUUGGGUAG
This 66-nucleotide transfer RNA is filed under the name Manuscaris liui. RNAcentral's name for it is "tRNA-His". It matches the Rfam family "tRNA". From Rfam's summary of the family: Transfer RNA (tRNA) molecules are approximately 80 nucleotides in length. Their secondary structure includes four short double-helical elements and three loops (D, anti-codon, and T loops). The record is from RNAcentral. Lineage: Eukaryota; Metazoa; Arthropoda; Malacostraca; Decapoda; Alvinocarididae.